UAAGUUGUAAUAAAAUGAGUGGAAAAAAAAUUUGUAUGGAUCAUGUGCUACUCAUUACCUAUGUGUUGUUCAACUUCAACCCAAGUUUUCCUUUGUUUGGCAUGUUUAUGUUGAAAUAAAAGUUGGUUGAAUCAUGCAUGCAUGUUCAAAGGAAGGCAAAGUUUGACCAGCGAGGAAGACAAAACUUUAAUUUAAUUCAUUUCAUUUUCUUCUCUUGUAAAUCAUUAAUAUUUGAUCACCUAAAACAACGAAAACCGUAAUAUUUUGGUUGAGAAUUAUACUUUG
This 285-nucleotide long non-coding RNA is filed under the name Medicago truncatula (barrel medic). RNAcentral describes it as "long non-coding RNA (MTRU_LNC008028)". The record is from RNAcentral. Lineage: Eukaryota; Viridiplantae; Streptophyta; Magnoliopsida; Fabales; Fabaceae.